CCCACAGGCAGCCCCACAGGGACCCCAUAGAGCCCUAUAGACCCCCAUAGAGACCCCAGGCAGCCGCAUAGGGCCCCCCCAGGGACCCCACAGAGCCCUAUAGGGCCCCAAGGAGCCACUGCAGCGUCCCCUGGCAGCCCCACAGAGGCCCCAGGGGCCUUAUAGGGCCCUAUAGGCCCCACAGAGCCCCCGGAGAGUCCCCCAGGGUUCGCUAUAGAGGCCUACGGGUCCCCACGGAGACCCAAGAAGACCCUAUAGAGCCCUGUACGCCCUCCCAGAGCUCCCAGGAGCCCCACAGAGCCCCCCAGGGACCCCAUAGAGUCCCCAGGCAGCCCCACAGGGUCCUUAUAGCACCCCAUAGGGCCCCAAUAUCGCCCCGCAGAGCACUAAUAGAGCCCUAUGGGGCCCCAGCAUCACCCCUUAGGGCCCUUAUAGUGCCCCAUAGGGCCCCAAUAGAGCCCCAUAGGGACCUAACGGAGCCCCAGAGAGCACUAACAGAGCCCUAUAGGGCCCCAAUAAAGCCCCAUAAGGACCUUGUAGUGCCCCAGAGGGCCCUUAUAGCACCCCCUAGGGCCCCAAUAUCACCCCCUAGGGCCCUUAUAGCGCCCCAUAGGGCCCCAAUAUCACCCAUAGAGCCCCAAUAGAGCCCUAGAGGGACCUAAUAGAGCCCCACAGGGCCCUAUAGGACCCUAAUAGAGCCCCAAUACCACCCCUAGGGCCCUUAUAGCACCCCAUAGGGCCCCAAUACCACCCCCUAGGGCCCUUAUAGUGCCCCAUUGGGCCCCAAUCCCACCCCCUAGGGCCCUAGAGGCACCCCAUAGGGCCCCAAUAUCACCCAUAGAGCCCCAAUAGAGCCCUAGAGGGACCUAACAGAGCCCCACAGGGCCCUAUAGGACCCCAACAGAGCCCCAAUACCACCCCCUAGGGCCCUUAUAGCACCCCAUAGGGCCCCAAUUCCACCCCCUAGGGCCCUUAUAGCGCCCCACAGGGCCCCAAUCCC
This 1000-nucleotide long non-coding RNA is filed under the name Anser cygnoides (Swan goose). Its description in RNAcentral is "lncRNA (ENSACDG00005008543.1)". The record is from RNAcentral. Lineage: Eukaryota; Metazoa; Chordata; Aves; Anseriformes; Anatidae.